UAACAGGUUUGAACUGAAGAGUUUGAUCCUGGCUCAGAUUGAACGCUGGCGGCAUGCCUUACACAUGCAAGUCGA
RNAcentral lists this ribosomal RNA (75 nucleotides) under Paraburkholderia polaris. Its description in RNAcentral is "Paraburkholderia sp. RP-4-7 partial 16S ribosomal RNA". The stretch from base 11 to 75 matches the Rfam family "Bacterial small subunit ribosomal RNA", at positions 1 to 65 of the family's 1533-position model. Lineage: Bacteria; Pseudomonadati; Pseudomonadota; Betaproteobacteria; Burkholderiales; Burkholderiaceae. The record is from RNAcentral.